UUUUCUUAGUAGCGGCGAGCGAAAAGAAAUCAGUUCAGCACUAAGUCACUUUAUCAUUAUGAUAAAUGUGAGAUGCAGUGUAUGGUAUGUCUUCAAUCUGGUAUGAGAAAUUAACGAUUUAAGUCCUUCUUAAAUGAGGCCAAUUACCCAUAGAGGGUGCCAGGCCCGUAUAACGUUAAUGAUUAUCAGAAGGCAUUUCCAAAGAGUCGUGUUGCUUGAUAGUGCAGCACUAAGUUGGUGGUAAACUCCAUCUAAAACUAAAUAUAACCAUGAGACCGAUAGUAAACAAGUACCGUGAGGGAAAGUUGAAAAGAACUCUGAAUAGAGAGUUAAAUAGUACGUGAAACUGCUUAGAGGUUAAGCCCGAUGAACCUGAAUAUCCAUUAUGGAAAAUUCAUCAUUAAAAUUGUAAUAUAUAUAUAUAUAUAUUAAAAUGAUAGUGUGCAUUUUUUCCAUAUAAGGACAUUGUAAUCUAUUAACAUAAUAAAAUAUUUAUCAAAAAAUCAUAUACAAUUAAAGUUUAUUCAAAUUAUUAUUGCUUGCCUAUUUUAACAUAGAAUAAAUUUGUUAAUGAUUUGAUAAAGUGUUGAUAGAUUUAUCAUAUAUACAAUGCUUUAAUUUAAUAUAAAUUAUAUAAUAGCAUAUUUAUCUUUAGAUAUUUAUGUUUAUUAUAUGCAUUUGUAUGAUUAACAAUGCGAAAGAUUCAGGAUACCUUCGGGACCCGUCUUGAAACACGGACCAAGGAGUCUAACAUAUAUGCAAGUCAUUGGGAUUAUAUAUUAUAAACCUAAUGGCAUAAUUAACUUAACUGUUAAAUAUUAUGGGAUUAGUUUUUAAUACUAUUUAUAGUUUAUUAACACAAUCCCGGGGCGUUUUAUAUAGUUAUGUAUAAUAAUAUUUAUAUUAUU
Molecule: ribosomal RNA, 908 nt
Filed under: Stegana hirtipenis
Lineage: Eukaryota; Metazoa; Arthropoda; Insecta; Diptera; Drosophilidae
Description: partial 28S ribosomal RNA
Rfam family: Eukaryotic large subunit ribosomal RNA
Source: RNAcentral